GAGGGUAUAGCUCAGUGGUAGAGUGCAUGCCUAGCAUGCACGAGGUCCUGGGUUCAAUUCCCAGUGCCUCCA
RNAcentral lists this transfer RNA (72 nucleotides) under Camelus bactrianus (Bactrian camel). It matches the Rfam family "tRNA". Rfam says of the family: Transfer RNA (tRNA) molecules are approximately 80 nucleotides in length. The record is from Rfam by way of RNAcentral. RNAcentral also lists the same sequence under 1 other name. Lineage: Eukaryota; Metazoa; Chordata; Mammalia; Artiodactyla; Camelidae.